Bactrocera dorsalis (oriental fruit fly) is the source of this 590-nucleotide long non-coding RNA. RefSeq lists it as uncharacterized. The transcript is spliced from 3 exons. The record is from RefSeq and is a predicted model, not a curated record. Lineage: Eukaryota; Metazoa; Arthropoda; Insecta; Diptera; Tephritidae.
AGGGGCCAACAUGAAAAAUGGAGCAUAAUGGGAUCUGGACCCACAAUCCAUAAAUCCUCCUUUAACAACUUAAGAGCGUUUAUUAUCGAUCCAGAAGUUUCAUUGGAUCAACAGAGAAAAUACACGACCAAAAUGCUUCGGUUGAAAGCGCCUGAGGGGAACAUGGAAGAGCACAGGUUCAAUGGGUUGCCAUGCAUGAGAAGAACGCAGCCAACCACCGGCCUGGUCGAGCUGUGUGGCAAGUAGCUGCAUAUGGCUGCAACAUACGGUGGCGGCACCGACGGCGGAGACGGCACCUGGAAGACACGGAAACAUGGUAAGAGCACUAAGCCCAAUUUGAAUUUACAAAUUUUCCAGUUAAUUUAAUCACGGCGAACUCUUUCUCAAGUUGUUUGCUGAUGUGGGUUAACAUAUUAGAUGGGUUUAUGUUGUAUGUGUGGGUAAAAGAUAGAAAGAUAUUACUAGGGUGGGAAAAAUGUUUUGAAUUUAUAGAAAAUGUAAUAAGUUGUAGCAACUGAUUGAAUUUUGAUUUUGUUCUGGUUUUAGAAAGUAAAAUUUAAGAAAAAAAUUAUGAGAAAAUUUUCAUAAAG